CAUUGGGUUUUUAGGUCCCCCACACAAGAAAGAGGAGUGCUCUCUCUCUAUAUAAUUCUAUUUUUCAGUAUCCGUGUAUUUGACCAGAUUAUUAAAAUAGGUGACAUCAAUCUAAUUGGAUUGGAUGAAGCAGAAAUCGUCUCUACUUUUAAAAAAAUGGACGAUUCUCCUUUCCAGAUUGAAAUUGGCCGCGAACCACCUGAAGUCAAGUCAGAACUUAUCGAACUCCUCGAGUUGUCAGAGGAAAGGAAGAAAUAUUUUAUGGAUUCGCUCAUAGUACAGGAAAAAAUUAGAGAUAUCACUAUUGUGAGAGGACAAGCAAGUAUUUGUAGAAGUCCAAGAGUACCAUGGUACUGGAUGGCCAGUGACCUGAAAUUUGUUAUUGGGGCACUGAAAAUAUUAAUAGAAGAAGAUCAGGGAUGUAGAAAAAACAUCCAAGCUAUCUUUGAGCAGGCUAACAUUUUUCAAGAGAAAUAUAAAGACAUGAACACAUACAAAGUAAAUAUGGAACAGAAACCUGAUGAAUCAAAUAAAGAAGGCACAUUUUUACCAUUGGCCCCAGAAGAAGAAUUAUUACUAGAACAAUUUAAAAUAAAACCUAAAGAGAUAAAAAGUGAAGAUUUAUCACCAGGGCAAUUAUUAGCCCAAGGGGAUUUCAAUUCAGGUGUGAAAAAAGAGGCACAGAGAAGAUAUUCAGAUAGUUACCUUUCCAGGGGUGACUUCAUGGCUUCUGGCUCUAAAAUCAAAGCCAAAGAGACCCCAAUAAAAAAAGAAAAAGAAGAAGAUGAAAUAGUAGUGGAGGAAGAGAUUAUUAGCACUGGAAAACCUACAGAGGGAAAGGCUAAAAAGAGAUUUUCCUGGUUCAGCAAUAUCAAAGAAUGCAAGCUGUGGAACUUCUUUCAUUUUAAAAAACAUGACAAACAAGUAAAGAAUGUGCACAAGUGGGAAGAAAUUGAUCAAGAGGUAUUGGAUGAUUACUGUCCUUAUUCUACUGAAGCCCCUAAAACAUUGCCAACACAGUGGACAAAUAUUGAAGUUGGUAAUUGGUUAUGGAGCAUUGGAAUGGAGGAGUAUGUUGUAAAAUUUUAUUGUAAAGGAAUAAAUGGUGGAAAACUCCUUAUACUGGACAAUCGCUUGCUAAAAGAAAUCAAAGUCAACAGGAAGAAAGACCGCCGGAAAAUACUUAAGGCUAUUAAGAAAAUUAGAGAUUUUUUGGAAAAAAAUCAUAUUUGGUUCUUACUAUAG
This is a long non-coding RNA of Monodelphis domestica (gray short-tailed opossum), 1245 nucleotides long. The record is from Ensembl. NCBI's taxonomy places the organism in Eukaryota, Metazoa, Chordata, Mammalia, Didelphimorphia, Didelphidae.